This is a long non-coding RNA of Cervus elaphus (red deer), 1039 nucleotides long. RefSeq lists it as uncharacterized. The record is from RefSeq and is a predicted model, not a curated record. The transcript has 5 exons. Lineage: Eukaryota; Metazoa; Chordata; Mammalia; Artiodactyla; Cervidae.
UGUAGUCCUCAUGGCGCCCAGCGGGAAGGCGGUGUCUUGCGGCGGAGGCCGGGAGCACGUGGGCUGGGGAUCGGCCGAGCCCAGGCAGCCUCAGGCCUAUUGCGGCCAAGUUCGACCGGCGAGAGGCCCUGCGGGGCAGCUCCCUAAGAGGACAUCUCUCUGGCCCAGACUGUCCUGACCCUCAGACCCAGCCGCUGCCAGCCUCCUUGCCUUCUGAAACUGUCACGGGCACGUCAAGUUGAACAGGUGCGGGACCCAAGAUGAAGCGAUGUGCUCAAAGUCACGAGGAGCGAGUGCCGGGACUGCUUGGAUUCGAGGACACGUGUGUCACAUCUGUCACACAUGACUUAGCGACUGCACAACAACUAGAGUCACCUUUAGCGGCAGGAGAUGCAAAGUAACAGACACACCUGCAGCUCCUUGGGAUGUGGGGGGCUGGGGGUGGGGGGUGGGGAGGCAGGAACAAGCCCUGUGCUUGGGUCUCAAGUCCCAGAGCGCCUGCAUUAGGGUGCUGGGAUCCAGCACCGCUGUUUUAUUUUCCCCACCUGUCACUGUCCUGGUGCAGCGCCUCCUCACGAAUUCCAGGAAAAGGAAAAACAACUAAGACCAGGAUCUGGCUUCCCCAGGCAGACACAUACCAAGUAAACACAACUACAGCCCAUCUCCUCAAAUAAAAGCUGCGGCUUCCCUCCACAGAACAGUCACACACAGGCACACACACAACACACCGCACACCUCUGCCGAAGGGCACGGGGUCCCUGAAGGCGAGGGGGUUUGAUGACUUGAGACUGAUAAUCUCCGUGUGGGAUGGGAAGAGAGGAGAGCCCUGUAGACACCAAGACUGAAGGGGUCGGUGGAGCAGAGGAGCCUGCCGAGACUGAGAACCAAGGGUCUCCAGGUCCUCGUGUAUAAUGGGGAUGUCAAGAGCACGUCCUUGACAGUCAUGAGGAUGAAGUGAGGUGCUGUGCAUUUUACAGCGUCUGGCACCACGUCUGGCACGUGACAAGCACUCAAUAAAUCUUGUCUGUUCUGGUUCUGA